ACAUCUCUUCUGCUGCUUAAAUGGCUUGGAGCACCUGGUUCUGAAAAUAUGUGAUCCAUCUGGGCAGAACCAGGAAUUUGGAGGUCAACUUGUAUUAUGAGACAGAGUAGGAAGGAAAUUGACUUCAACUUCUACAAUAUGAACAUAAAUUCUGAUGUCAUCAUGAGGGUCUCAAAGACUGCUCCUCCCAUAAUAGCCUCGGAACACUGGAGAGUGUUUAAGAUGUGGUACUUCAUGAGAGCUGGAGGACAAAAUAAAAAGAGCAAGCUUUCAGACCAAAGGAAAUAACAUUUGACCCUUCAAAGAUGUGUUUUAUUGUGGAACUAAGUAUUCCUAUGAAAUAUAAUACAGAGAAUGCUAGGCGACUUCUCAGAGAGGAAACAUCAUACUACCUUCAGAAGCCACUUUGUCUCCCAUGAUUCUUUCUAGAACACCU
Non-coding RNA from Microcebus murinus (gray mouse lemur), 436 nucleotides. The record is from RefSeq and is a predicted model, not a curated record. Lineage: Eukaryota; Metazoa; Chordata; Mammalia; Primates; Cheirogaleidae.